RNAcentral lists this long non-coding RNA (299 nucleotides) under Sarcophilus harrisii (Tasmanian devil). RNAcentral's name for it is "lncRNA (ENSSHAG00000024306.1)". The record is from RNAcentral. Lineage: Eukaryota; Metazoa; Chordata; Mammalia; Dasyuromorphia; Dasyuridae.
GAAUUCUAUAAACUUAUGUCUCAUGUUCUUCCCUAUUAAUAGAUCUGGGAAUUUUUGCUGGAAGCCAAGUGAUGACAUGUCGAGGGGAAUACUUCAUCGUGAUUUGAUUAGCAUACAUGCCAGUCCUUCAUUCCAACAGGCAGCUGCAGCUAAUUAUGUGCUUCACUUUAGGCUGGGAAAUAAUAUCCAGAUCAGAACACAUUUGUGUAAGUAUCCAAAGAGAAUUUUUAUAGAGUUUUCCUGUAAUGCGAAUAGAUAAUUUUAUUGUUUUUUUUCCCCCAGGCAUCAACCUUCCUGAC